CCUACGGGCGGCAGCAGUGAGGAAUAUUGGUCAAUGGACGAGAGUCUGAACCAGUCAAGUAGCGUGAAGGAUGACUGCCCUAUGGGUUGUAAACUUCUUUUAUAUGGGAAUAAAGUGUUCCACGUGUGGGAUUUUGUAUGUACCAUAUGAAUAAGGAUCGGCUAACUCCGUGCCAGCAGCCGCGGUAAUACGGAGGAUCCGAGCGUUAUCCGGAUUUAUUGGGUUUAAAGGGUGCGUAGGUGGAUUGUUAAGUCAGUUGUGAAAGUUUGCGGCUCAACCGUAGAAUUGCAGUUGAAACUGGGAGUCUUGAGUACAGUAGAGGUAGGCGGAAUUCGUGGUGUAGCGGUGAAAUGCUUAGAUAUCACGCAGAACUCCGAUUGCGAAGGCAGCUCACUGGGCUGCAACUGACACUGAGGCUCGAAAGUGUGGGUAUCAAACAGGAUUAGAUACCCCAGUAGUC
This 460-nucleotide ribosomal RNA is filed under the name uncultured bacterium. RNAcentral describes it as "partial 16S ribosomal RNA". It matches the Rfam family "Bacterial small subunit ribosomal RNA", at positions 338 to 795 of the family's 1533-position model. The record is from RNAcentral.